CAGGCACUAUCGCCUGCCUGACACUGUGCUGUGCAGCCCAGUGGGGAGACCAGCAAGGAGAUGGAUUGAGGGAGUUAGCAGGCACAGUAGUGCUGUGCAUUUGUUAAAGAAUGUGGGCGUGGUUGGCUAGGUCUUGGGGCCUGGCCAGCUAGGACCCAUGGGCGUGGUCAACUAGGAUGGGGGUGUGGUCAGUUAGGUGUGUGAUCCUGGUCAGCCAGGCUCUAAGGAAUAGUCCUUUAGAUCUGCUAAGUCCAUUGACUCUGGAGUCCCCUGGAAGAGUGGCUAACCCAGCUGUGACUCCCCAGCCAGGGGAGAACUGCCUAGAACCAGGACCAGAGAGGCCCAGGUGAUUGAGCUGUGACAAGUGGCAGAGACAGGAGAGGCCCAGCUGUCUGGACAGUUGCCCACAUUCCAAUCUCAGGAUGCUUUGACUGCAAAGCUAGGAACCAGUAAAUCCAACAGCACCUGGCCUGGUGGCCAUGCUGGUGCUGUUCCUGCACUUGGCCCUGCAAUGGCUCAAAGGAACGGGACCCAAAAGAGACACGGCUUGCUUAACACCCCAUCUUAGCAACAUCAUGCAGCUCUUUCUGCAGUCACUGGCCUUUCCUCCUUAGCUGCCAGAACCCCACAUUGCAGAGGAAGCCUGUGCACAGUGAAGGGGAUGUGGAACCUGGGAGCCAGUCCCCAGCACUGUCACUGGGCCAUAGCUGCUGAGAGGAAAGGGCAGCCUGGCCAGAGUAAGCACAGUGGCCAUUGGGAGCCAUGGGCCUGGCCUGCGGCUCUGCAACUCUUCAAAUUAAGGAACCAACAAAGCAUCAGGUGAGAAAGCAGAUGCCAUGCCUGUGCAGAGCUCUACAAGGCAAGCGGUUGUUGUCAUUCUCAUGCCAUGGUGCCGUGCAGAUGUUGCAUGUGCAUGGUACAUGCAUGGAAGCCGUGAUUGGCAGGGGCCCAGAAAACCUGCAUCAUCUAUUCUUGUCCUUGGUCUGAGGCGCCUCUCACCUGUCUUACCAAUCUCACAUUUCUGGGGCUUCACUAUGGAAGCCUCUUCUGCUAUGCAGAAAUCCGGGUGUCUGUGGGGGCUGGUUCUCCUCAGAUGGGUGCCCUCCUUGUGCGUGACAACAGAUGAGCUAUAUUUCAAAACAAAGUGCUGUGUUAUAAUCAUCUGCCUGAAUUCCCAGGGUAUCUUUUACCUGACUUGAUAACAAUGUUCUUCAUUAGCAGCGUUUGUUAACUGAUAACCUGAAGCAGUAACUUGGUAUUCAUAAGCAAUUUUCUGUAUGUAAGAUAGAAUAAACCAUCUUGUAAGGGAUCUGUUAAUUGAUUUGCUUCUUUUAGCAGCAUUUUAAUUAAGGCAUCUGGUUUUGGAGGGCAGAAAUAGUUGUGAGCAGAAGGGAAAGGCUCUGGAUUCUCAGUCCAUGAAAAUGUCCUGUGCACUGAGCAGAGAAACACAGUCAUGUGUCACUCGGUGACAAGGACAUGUCCAGGAAGUGUGCAUUUGGGGUUCAUCACUAUGUGGAUGCGGCAGAUGCCCGCACAGGGACUGCGAUGGUUGUGGCAUUACUAUGAUACCAUGCAUAUGGUCCAUCACUGAUGGAAAUAGCGCUAUUCUGGGCAUGUCUGCAGGCUGAAGACCAGUGACCUCCCUCAGAUGGUAGGGACUAACGUCAUUUAGGAGGCAGUGUGGG
Long non-coding RNA from Heterocephalus glaber (naked mole-rat), 1685 nucleotides. The record is from Ensembl. NCBI's taxonomy places the organism in Eukaryota, Metazoa, Chordata, Mammalia, Rodentia, Bathyergidae.